CUGGAUGUCAGCGGAGGUUCUGGAUGGCUGGACGUCAGUGGAGGUUCUGGACGGCUGGACGUCAACAGAGGUUCUGGAUGGCUGGACGUCAGCGGACGUUCUGGACGGCUGGACGUCAGCAGAGGUUC
Molecule: long non-coding RNA, 128 nt
Organism: Etheostoma spectabile (orangethroat darter)
Lineage: Eukaryota; Metazoa; Chordata; Actinopteri; Perciformes; Percidae
Exons: 3
Source: RefSeq, a predicted model, not a curated record